GGAGAGGUGCCAGAGUGGCUUAAUGGGUCCGACUCGAAAUCGGAAGUUCUGUCAAAAGCGGAACCGGGAGUUCAAAUCUCCCCCUCUCCG
This 90-nucleotide transfer RNA is filed under the name Candidatus Omnitrophota bacterium. Its description in RNAcentral is "tRNA-Ser". It matches the Rfam family "tRNA". Rfam says of the family: Transfer RNA (tRNA) molecules are approximately 80 nucleotides in length. Lineage: Bacteria; Pseudomonadati; Candidatus Omnitrophota. The record is from RNAcentral.